Hippoglossus stenolepis (Pacific halibut) is the source of this 1101-nucleotide long non-coding RNA. RefSeq lists it as uncharacterized. The record is from RefSeq and is a predicted model, not a curated record. NCBI's taxonomy places the organism in Eukaryota, Metazoa, Chordata, Actinopteri, Pleuronectiformes, Pleuronectidae. The transcript has 3 exons.
CCCGGAACCCCCAGCUCCAUUCAUUAAUAAAGGAAGUUAAUAGGACGGGUCUGUAGCCAGGACAGACUCUGUGCGUCUGGAUCAAGUCGCAAGGGAUUUCUGUUUUUAACGAAAGCGCACGCUCGUCUCCAGUUUCCUCUGCGUCUCCAUUUGUGUCGAUACUAGUGUCUUUGCUGUCCUGGGAUCAGCCUGUCAUGUUCGGUCGAAGCUCCAAGAGGAGAAACUUCACCACAUCAUCGCUGAGCCCUGCAGAUGAGCCCCAGAGAGGACAGCCCUGUAUCACCUGUGGAGAACAGUGUCCUGGCUUUUCCCUGCACGCAUGGAGUGUACCCUGGAAAACUGCUUUGCCAUCUCAGAUCCUAUAGAUGCUAAAUAAUCCCCCUACCAGCAUCCUGAUGGACAAAUAAAAAACAAUUUAAAAAAAAUCAAAUUAUUUACUGAUUUGUCAAAUUAAGUAAAGCUGUUUCAAAGGAGUUGAAACCAGCAGGAGGCAACAUGUCUAACUUUAUCCCCAGGUCCAGGAACAGCUGCAGGAGCCUGGGACUUUAAUUUUAAUUUCAGGGUGAUGCUAUCAGCUAAACAGUCCCAAUAGGGCACAGUGUACGAUAGAAGAAAAGAAGAAAUUAAGUAGGUUAAGUGAAUACAAUGAAAUUGUAAAUUGGCCUUCUUUAGUCCAAUCCCUUUCUUUCAGGUCUGUGAUGACAACAAGGCUAGUAAAAAAAUACAAGAUGUCAUCCAAGAAGUGAUGCACAAAGAGCAUGACUGUACUGAAACUAUUAUAUUGGAAAACCUAACGUAUACUUCAUAUAGAUUCAUUGUAUUGGACAGCUGUAUAAGUGUGUGUAGUGUUUUCAGGCAGCUUGUGUAUAAUAGAGCCGGUAUAUAGUGUCAGUCUGAUCCACCUAAGUCUCUUCUUAUCAAGGUCAUCUCUAACAGGUGCUCAUGUGUUUGGAUUAAGAGCGAUAGGCAUCAGAAAAUUCCUUUUAGUCUCUCAUAGAAAAUGGUAUGUGUGUUUCAAUAUGUUGUCUCUCAUAUCAGGUUAUCCCCUUUUUUUAAAGACAUUUCACUCCUCUGCAUUGUAAUUGUCACUUGUUUAUGUAA